CCUACGGGAGGCAGCAGUGGGGAAUAUUGGGCAAUGGAGGAAACUCUGACCCAGCGACGCCGCGUGCGGGAUGAAGGCCUUCGGGUUGUAAACCGCUUUCAGUAGGGAAGAAGCGAAAGUGACGGUACCUACAGAAGAAGCACCGGCUAACUAUGUGCCAGCAGCCGCGGUAAUACAUAGGGUGCAAGCGUUGUCCGGAAUUAUUGGGCGUAAAGAGCUCGUAGGUGGUUCGUCACGUCGGAUGUGAAAAUCUGGGGCUCAACCCCAGACCUGCAUUCGAUACGGGCGAUCUAGAGUGUGGUAGGGGAGACUGGAAUUCCUGGUGUAGCGGUGGAAUGCGCAGAUAUCAGGAGGAACACCAAUGGCGAAGGCAGGUCUCUGGGCCAUUACUGACACUGAGGAGCGAAAGCGUGGGGAGCGAACAGGAUUAGAUACCCUGGUAGUCCACGCCGUAAACGGUGGGCACUAGUUGUGGGAACCUUCCACGGUUUCUGCGACGCAGCUAACGCAUUAAGUGCCCCGCCUGGGGAGUACGAGUCGCAAGAUUAAACUUAAUAAGUAAUUGACG
RNAcentral lists this ribosomal RNA (568 nucleotides) under uncultured bacterium. Its description in RNAcentral is "bacterial SSU rRNA". It matches the Rfam family "Bacterial small subunit ribosomal RNA", at positions 338 to 915 of the family's 1533-position model. The record is from RNAcentral.